Bos taurus (domestic cattle) is the source of this 2650-nucleotide long non-coding RNA. Lineage: Eukaryota; Metazoa; Chordata; Mammalia; Artiodactyla; Bovidae. The record is from Ensembl.
GGGGGCGGGGCUCAUGAAUAGUCAGGUGUGUCCAAUAUAAGGCACCUUAUAAGAGGGAGGCAGAUGGUACGGAGUCAGAAGAGGAGGUGUGGAGCUGUGCUGAGAGAGCGAAGGGUGGGAUGACGCCAUUGCUGGAAGUCCUAAGCCAAAGUAUGCCAACACCCUCCAGAAUCUGGGAAAAGCAUCAGGGUCUUUUCCAAUGAGUUGGCUCUUCACAUCAGAUGGCCAAAGUAUUAGAGCUUCAGCGCCAGUCCUCCCAGUGAAUAUUCAAGAUUGAUUUCCUUUAGGAUUGACUGGUUGGAUCUCCUUGCAGUCCAAGGAAUUCUCAAGAGUCUUCUCCAGCACCACAGUUCAGAAGCAUCAAUUCUUUGGUGCUCAGCCUUCUUUAUGGGCUUUAUGCCUUUCUCCGUUUAGCCUACAAACAGAGGGCACCCUCUGAACGUCCCAGGACUUCACUGGCCAUGGGGGCCACAAUGGCCAAGAGGAGGCAAAGCUGAGUGGGCCCUUCCCAGCAGGCUGUGGGCACUGUGGGGAGCUCUGGGAUACAGACUGGACGAAGACCAGGGGGUGCUUAGAAGUCAAGCUCUGGAAUCAACCACCCCUGGUCCAACUCUGGCUCCUACAUUUUUAGUAUCUAUAUGAAGCCGAGAACAUCUGUUUUUGUUUUUUUUUUCCUGCCAGCAUCCAUUCUCAGCCCCUCUGGUAACAAUAUCCCUGUGGUUCAUGUUGUCCCAGAGAAGGUGACCUUAGGUCCAGUUCCUGGGGAAGAGUACGGGACUCCUCUCGCCCCAAGCUAGUCACUGCCUCCCACUCCUCUGGCCAUGGCAGGAGCAGAGUUCUACUUAUUUUCGGAGAGAGGUCUGCCUCUUGGAGUGACUUUAACAAAUUCAUGAAAAGUCAUUUGACAAGUUUAUAAAAGUUCACUUCACAGAUUCAUAAAAGCCAGACUUGCCUUGACAUUCUGCCAGAAGGAUCAGUUUCUUCUUCUUGAAUGCAUAUUAUUUUUAACGAUACUAACUUUAUUCUCAUUUUAUUAUUAAAAUUAUAUGUGCUUUUGUAAAUUAAAAAUAAUGGGUAGUAAAACAGAUGUAGACAGGUAAAGACAAAACUAGAAAGUCCCUUAAAAUCCACUACCCAGAAAUAAUCAUUCUUCGCAUUUGGUGAACAGAAUGCACCAGUAAGAACCCACACUGCCUCUUUUAAAAAUGAUCCAGUACUUUAGAUUUUUCUUUUCAUGAUUUCAUGAAAAAUCUAGAAGUCCUUCUGUCCUUCCGCCCAGUUGCUGAGCCAGGGCACACAGACAGUCAAGACCUGACCUUUGGGAAGCAGGUGCCCCAGUUACAAAACACAGGUCUCCCCUCUGAGAUCCACAGAGUUGGUGUGAGCAUGGAUUCAAAGAGAAAAACAGCAGUGGGGAGAUAGCUGAAGGGUAAUGAAAUGACAGUCCAGUGAACAUGUUUCAAAAGCACAUUCAAUUUUGAAAGACAGAAAUAUUAAAUUAGCAAAAGGGAACAUGUUAGACCCAACAGAGCCAAGUUUCCGAAUGUCUUUUUGAAAUAAUUAACUCCAGGCAUAGGGAAUCGGGUAUAUUCACUGCAAGUGGGAGAUGACAGCGGGACCCAAAGCUGGAAGGUGCAUCUGGAGACGGGUGUGUGGAGGAGAGCUUGGAGGAGCCCACUGGUUCCAUUUUCAGGGUCCUAGGAUGAAGGACCAGGAACUAGAAGGCAGGAUUCUGGAAGGACUCAUUGCAAGGGCGUCUGGAAUGGCUCCCGGCAGGGUGCGUGCCCUCUCAUUUCUCACAGUCAGCCACCUGCUUUGGAAUCAAGGAAGCUCAUUAAAGACACAGAGUCUUUGGUGCCUCUGAGCCUUCCUCACCAGGGUCCUGGGGUCAAGGCUCAGGGGCUUUGUGGGUCACAGGGUCUCCAGAUGAUUCUGAGAUCUUCAACGAGUCACUCAGGACCUGGAUGAUUCGUUGUGAGCACUUAAAAGCAUGGAGGAGAAGCAGAAAUGCCGCAGAAAUGCCGCAAUCUGGUUUUAUGUGAGAACAUGUGCCAAAGCCUUAAAUUCUGAGGAGGACAGAGAACGCUCAGUCCAAGGAGUGAUUUGUUUUGUGUAAUUUCCUGGAGUUUUCAUUCUUAUUCUCCAGAAUUCCCUGAUGCCAGCAGGACAUUAAGCAACUAUUAACUUUAGUCGUUGCCCAUUUUACAGACAUGGAAACUGAAAUGAAGGUGACUCAGCUGUUGCCUAGACACCGACCAUUUGGGUCUGCAGACCUCUAGCCUCUCACUUCCCCCUCCCCAAGUGCCCUUCCUCUCAAGAGUUUGUGAUCCAGACUUGUCCUUCUGGGACUUCCCUGGUAGUCCAGUGGCUAAGACUCCACGCUUCCACUGGAGAGGGUGAGAGUUCAAUCCUUGGUCAGGGAACUAAGAUCCCACAUGCAUAGCAUGGCCAGAAAAAACUUGUCCUUCCCUGCUUAGAGGGAGGCAAGAUAGGGCACCUGGUCAAAAGAUGUUUAUCAGCCAUCCCUCAGGCCCUGUACUGAUUGCCUCAUCUAAUCUUCCACUCAAGGAAGUAAGUUCAGUUCAGUCGCUCAGUCGUGCCCAACUCUUUGCAACCCCAUGAAUUGCAGCACGCCAGGCCUCCCUGACCA